UACGUAGGCGGUUUAUUAAGUCAGAUGUGAGAGCCCGGGCUUAACCUGGGAACUGCAUUUGAUACUGGUAAACUAGAGUAUGGUAGAGGGGGGUAGAAUUCCUAGUGUAGCGGUGAAAUGCGUAGAUAUUAGGAGGAAUACCAGUGGCGAAGGCGGCCCCCUGGACCAAUACUGACGCUGAGGUACGAAAGCGUGGGUAGCGAACA
This 206-nucleotide ribosomal RNA is filed under the name uncultured bacterium. RNAcentral describes it as "partial 16S ribosomal RNA". It matches the Rfam family "Bacterial small subunit ribosomal RNA", at positions 568 to 774 of the family's 1533-position model. The record is from RNAcentral.